Molecule: small nuclear RNA, 186 nt
Organism: Mustela putorius furo (domestic ferret)
Lineage: Eukaryota; Metazoa; Chordata; Mammalia; Carnivora; Mustelidae
Gene: U2
Rfam family: U2 spliceosomal RNA
About the family: U2 is a small nuclear RNA (snRNA) component of the spliceosome (involved in pre-mRNA splicing). Complementary binding between U2 snRNA (in an area lying towards the 5' end but 3' to hairpin I) and the branchpoint sequence (BPS) of the intron results the bulging out of an unpaired adenosine, on the BPS, which initiates a nucleophilic attack at the intronic 5' splice site, thus starting the first of two transesterification reactions that mediate splicing.
Source: Ensembl
UUACCUUCAAAAUUUAUUAAUUUAAUUUAUGUAUCUGUUCUUAUCAGUUUAAUAUCUGAUACGUCCUCUAUCCGAGGACAAUAUAUUAAAUGGAUUUUUGGAGCAGGGAGAUGGAAUAGGAGCUUGCUCCGUCCACUCCAUGCAUCGACCUGGUAUUGCAGUACUUCCAGGAACGGUGCACUCCCC